RNAcentral lists this long non-coding RNA (726 nucleotides) under Pan troglodytes (chimpanzee). RNAcentral's name for it is "long non-coding RNA NONPTRT007942". Lineage: Eukaryota; Metazoa; Chordata; Mammalia; Primates; Hominidae. The record is from RNAcentral.
UAUCAAGUGUGUGCAUGUGUGAAAAUGUGUGAAUGUGUGUGGGUGUUUAUGUAUCAAGUGUGUGCAUGGAUGUGUGUGCAAAUUGUGUAUCAAGUGUGUGGAUGUGCACGAGUAUGUGUGUAUUGUGUGCGUGUGUGUGAAGGUACUGGGUGUGUGUGUAUAUGAGUGUGUGCACGCACAAAUAUGCAUAAGCAUGUGUAUAUCGAGUGUGUGCAUGUGUGUGUGAAGGUAUAUAGGUGUGUGUGUAUCUGAGUGUGUCCAUGUGUAUGUGUGAAUGUGCAUGGGUAUGUGUGUAUUGAGUGUGUGCAUGUGUGUGUGAAGGUACCGGGUGUGCGUGUAUCCGAAUGUGUGCAUAUGUGUAAACGUGUGACUAUGGAUGAGCACGUGUGUGUUGAGUGUGUGCAUGUGUGUAUAGGUGUGUGAGCGUGUGUGUGAGAGAAUAGGCAUGGCUGUGUGUCGAGUAUGUGCAUGUGUGUGUAUAGGUGUGUGUGUGUGAGAAUAGGCAUGGGUGUGUGUCAUGUGCAUGUGUGUGUAUAGGUGUGUGAGCGAAUAGGCAUGGGUGUGUGUGUUGAGUAUGUGCAUGUGUGUGUAUAGGGGUGUGUGUGAGAAUUAGGCAUGGGUGUGUGUGUCGAGUGUGUGCAUGUGUGUAUAGGUGUGUGUGAGAAUAGGCAUGGGUGUGUGUGUCAUGUGUGCAUGUGUGUGUGUGUGAGAAUAGGCAUGGGUGUG